CCUACGGGUGGCAGCAGUAGGGAAUCUUCCACAAUGGGCGAAAGCCUGAUGGAGCAACGCCGCGUGGGUGAAGAAGGUCUUCGAAUCGUAAAACCCUGUUGUUAGAGAAGAAAGUGCGUGAGAGUAACUGUUCACGUUUCGACGGUAUCUAACCAGAAAGCCACGGCUAACUACGUGCCAGCAGCCGCGGUAAUACGUAGGUGGCAAGCGUUAUCCGGAUUUAUUGGGCGUAAAGGGAACGCAGGCGGUCUUUUAAGUCUGAUGUGAAAGCCUUCGGCUUAACCGGAGUAGUGCAUUGGAAACUGGGAGACUUGAGUGCGGAAGAGGAGAGUGGAACUCCAUGUGUAGCGGUGAAAUGCGUAGAUAUCAGGAGGAACACCGGCGGCGAAGGCGGCCUGCUGGACUGAAACUGACGUUGAGGCUCGAAAGCGUGGGGAGCAAACAGGAUUAGAUACCCGGGUAGUC
Molecule: ribosomal RNA, 465 nt
Filed under: uncultured bacterium
Lineage: Bacteria
Description: partial 16S ribosomal RNA
Rfam family: Bacterial small subunit ribosomal RNA
Source: RNAcentral